UAGGGAAUCUUCGGCAAUGGACGAAAGUCUGACCGAGCAACGCCGCGUGAGUGAAGAAGGUUUUCGGAUCGUAAAACUCUGUUGUUAGAGAAGAACAAGGACGUUAGUAACUGAACGUCCCCUGACGGUAUCUAACCAGAAAGCCACGGCUAACUACGUGCCAGCAGCCGCGGUAAUACGUAGGUGGCAAGCGUUGUCCGGGUUUAUUGGGCGUAAAGCGAGCGCAGGCGGUUUCUUAAGUCUGAUGUGAAAGCCCCCGGCUCAACCGGGGAGGGUCAUUAGAAACUGGGAGACUUGAGUGCAGAAGAGGAGAGUGGAAUUCCAUGUGUAGCGGUGAAAUGCGUAGAUAUAUGGAGGAACACCAGUGGCGAAGGCGGCUCUCUGGUCUGUAACUGACGCUGGGGCUCGAAAGCGUGGGGAGCAAACAGG
RNAcentral lists this ribosomal RNA (429 nucleotides) under Gemmatimonadota bacterium. RNAcentral's name for it is "Gemmatimonadetes bacterium partial 16S ribosomal RNA". It matches the Rfam family "Bacterial small subunit ribosomal RNA", at positions 355 to 776 of the family's 1533-position model. Lineage: Bacteria; Pseudomonadati; Gemmatimonadota. The record is from RNAcentral.